CGUCCUCAGCGACGGACCGGG
RNAcentral lists this small nuclear RNA (21 nucleotides) under Arabidopsis thaliana (thale cress). Its description in RNAcentral is "snRNA_06646". Lineage: Eukaryota; Viridiplantae; Streptophyta; Magnoliopsida; Brassicales; Brassicaceae. The record is from RNAcentral.